Molecule: long non-coding RNA, 207 nt
Filed under: Elaeis guineensis (African oil palm)
Lineage: Eukaryota; Viridiplantae; Streptophyta; Magnoliopsida; Arecales; Arecaceae
Description: long non-coding RNA (EGUI_LNC001969)
Source: RNAcentral
GCAGGCAUCAACUUAUUUGGAUGGUUGCUAAGUAUACCGCAGAAGGUUUAUAUAAGAUUGCAAAUGUAUUGGCAUAAAGUGUGUGAAUGAUAUCGGUGAUCCAGAUUCUUUUAUGACACAAGAUAUCUAGAUUGGUGGGCUGCAGAACUUAAAAGUGUUAUCCCUAUAGAAAGGAAGCAAAAUUAGAUUUUAUUCACUGAUAAGAAG